CUUAUUAUCCAAUUUAUUUAUGAUUUUCAUGAUAUGAUAAAUUGUCUUUAUUAGAUCUUGCAAUCUAAGAUAGAUGUAUCAGGAAAGAAAAUAUGGCUUUUAAAACCAAGAGUUAGUAAGAGAGUCAUUUAAAGACUCUUGGUCCUGGUGCUCAGUCAGCACUCAGAGCUCUUGCCAGUUCGGGAAUGAAGAUUGGUCGUAUAGUACCUGCAGAAAGGGCGGUAGGUGGGGAAGGAGGCUGCAAUCGUCUCGGUGUCUUCCUGCGCAUGACCCUACCCUCUCGAUUACUUUCGGGACGACGGUGCUCUGGCGGGUAUAGUGUAAACGAUGACGUUGACGCUCCAAACAUCGACUUUAUCGGUGUAUGAAUUGGUAGUAAAAUCUCUAAAACAUCGACCGAAUACUUUUGGAUUGCUGACAUAAACGUUAGAGCACGUAAGGACCAUUUAUAGUUUUGAAAAUAGUUACUGUUCAAUGAAUUCAACACUCUCCUUUAAUUAAAUUGAAUAUGCAUUAAUA
Molecule: long non-coding RNA, 519 nt
Organism: Tarenaya hassleriana
Lineage: Eukaryota; Viridiplantae; Streptophyta; Magnoliopsida; Brassicales; Cleomaceae
Exons: 3
Source: RefSeq, a predicted model, not a curated record